Molecule: ribosomal RNA, 854 nt
Filed under: uncultured Bacillota bacterium
Lineage: Bacteria; Bacillati; Bacillota
Description: bacterial SSU rRNA
Rfam family: Bacterial small subunit ribosomal RNA
Source: RNAcentral
CAAGUCGAGCGGACUUCUUAAGGGCUUGCUCUUAAGAGGUUAGCGGCGAACGGGUGAGUAACACGUGGGCAACCUGCCCGACAGACCGGGAUAACGCUUGGAAACGAGUGCUAAUACCGGAUAGGCUGCUCCUUCGCAUGAAGGAGCAGAGAAAGAAGCUUUCGCUUCACUGUCGGAUGGGCCCGCGGCGCAUUAGCUAGUUGGUGAGGUAACGGCUCACCAAGGCGACGAUGCGUAGCCGACCUGAGAGGGUGACCGGCCACACUGGGACUGAGACACGGCCCAGACUCCUACGGGAGGCAGCAGUAGGGAAUCUUCCACAAUGGGCGCAAGCCUGAUGGAGCAACGCCGCGUGAAUGAUGAAGGCCUUCGGGUUGUAAAAUUCUGUCUUCUGUGAAGAACAAGUGCGAGAAGAGAAUGCUCGCACCCUGACGGUAACAGAGGAGGAAGCCCCGGCUAACUACGUGCCAGCAGCCGCGGUAAUACGUAGGGGGCAAGCGUUGUCCGGAAUUACUGGGCGUAAAGCGCGCGCAGGCGGCCAUUUGCGUCCGGGGUGAAAGCCCAAGGCUCAACCUUGGGAUUGCCUUGGAUACGGGAUGGCUUGAGGAUCGGAGAGGCAAGGGGAAUUCCACGUGUAGCGGUGAAAUGCGUAGAGAUGUGGAGGAACACCUGUGGCGAAGGCGCCUUGCUGGCCGAUUUCUGACGCUGAGGCGCGAAAGCGUGGGGAGCAAACAGGAAUUAGAUACCCUGGUAUUCCACGCCCGUAAACGAUGAGUGCUAGGUGUUGGGGGGGUACCACCCUCAGUGCCGAAGCCUAACGCCAUUAAGCCACUCCCGCCUGGGGAAGUACGGUC